ACUGAAUGGAGGACCGAACCGACUUACGUUGAAAAGUGAGCGGAUGAACUGAGGGUAGCGGAGAAAUUCCAAUCGAACCUGGAGAUAGCUGGUUCUCUCCGAAAUAGCUUUAGGGCUAGCCUCAAGUGAUGAUUAUUGGAGGUAGAGCACUGUUUGGACGAGGGGCCCCUCUCGGGUUACCGAAUUCAGACAAACUCCGAAUGCCAAUUAAUUUAACUUGGGAGUCAGAACAUGGGUGAUAAGGUCCGUGUUCGAAAGGGAAACAGCCCAGACCACCAGCUAAGGUCCCAAAAUAUAUGUUAAGUGGAAAAGGAUGUGGCGUUGCCCAGACAACUAGGAUGUUGGCUUAGAAGCAGCCAUCAUUUAAAGAGUGCGUAAUAGCUCACUAGUCGAGUGACACUGCGCCGAAAAUGUACCGGGGCUAAACAUAUUACCGAAGCUGUGGAUUGUCCUUUGGACAAUGGUAGGAGAGCGUUCUAAGGGCGUUGAAGCAUGAUCGUAAGGACAUGUGGAGCGCUUAGAAGUGAGAAUGCCGGUGUGAGUAGCGAAAGACGGGUGAGAAUCCCGUCCACCGAUUGACUAAGGUUUCCAGAGGAAGGCUCGUCCGCUCUGGGUUAGUCGGGUCCUAAGCUGAGGCCGACAGGCGUAGGCGAUGGAUAACAGGUUGAUAUUCCUGUACCACCUAUAAUCGUUUUAAUCGAUGGGGGGACGCAGUAGGAUAGGCGAAGCGUGCGAUUGG
Molecule: ribosomal RNA, 739 nt
Filed under: Staphylococcus aureus
Lineage: Bacteria; Bacillati; Bacillota; Bacilli; Caryophanales; Staphylococcaceae
Description: partial 23S ribosomal RNA
Rfam family: Bacterial large subunit ribosomal RNA
Source: RNAcentral